UACGGAGGGAGCUAGCGUUAUUCGGAAUUACUGGGCGUAAAGCGCACGUAGGCGGCUUUGUAAGUUAGAGGUGAAAGCCUGGAGCUCAACUCCAGAACUGCCUUUAAGACUGCAUCGCUUGAAUCCAGGAGAGGUGAGUGGAAUUCCGAGUGUAGAGGUGAAAUUCGUAGAUAUUCGGAAGAACACCAGUGGCGAAGGCGGCCCACUGGACUGGUAUUGACGCUGAGGUGCGAAAGCGUGGGGAGCAAACAGG
Molecule: ribosomal RNA, 253 nt
Filed under: uncultured bacterium
Lineage: Bacteria
Description: partial 16S ribosomal RNA
Rfam family: Bacterial small subunit ribosomal RNA
Source: RNAcentral